GCCAGGCAUGGUAGCAUGUGCCUGUAGUCCUAGCUACUUGGGGGACUGAAGUGAGAGGUUCACUUGAGCCCAGGAGUUUGAGGCUACAGUGAGCCCUGAUCAUGCCACUGCACUCCAUCCUGGGCAACAGAGUGAGACUCUGUCUCUUAAAAAAUAAAUAGGCUGGGUGCAGUGGCUCAUGCCUGUAAUCCUAGCACUUUGGGAGGCAGAGGCAGGCGGAUCACAAGGUCAGGAGCUUGAGACCAUCCUGGCUAACACGGUGAAACCUCAUCUCU
Molecule: small RNA, 275 nt
Filed under: Nomascus leucogenys (northern white-cheeked gibbon)
Lineage: Eukaryota; Metazoa; Chordata; Mammalia; Primates; Hylobatidae
Description: Metazoan signal recognition particle RNA (ENSNLEG00000028805.1)
Source: RNAcentral